Long non-coding RNA from Mus musculus (house mouse), 435 nucleotides. RefSeq annotates it as RIKEN cDNA 1700084E18 gene. The record is from RefSeq and is marked validated. The transcript has a single exon. Lineage: Eukaryota; Metazoa; Chordata; Mammalia; Rodentia; Muridae.
GUCGCCAUGUCUGUUAAGGGGAAAGCUUGAGGCGGCUUCACCCUACUCCCGUCCACGUGCCUGCGCCAAGCCACUUCGGGGCGGAAGUAACGGGACAGAACUAAGCCCCCUUAAAGGGACAGGGAUCCCUGCAACUUAAGGGAUGCGUUACUCUGGCCAGAGCGGCCAAGUGACCCAAGCUGACGCAAGUAUCCGCUCACCUCCUUUGUUCGGGUUCCGAUCGCCAUUGGGCCAGCGUCCUCAUACCUUUAGUGCUGCUCGUUAGCUGACUCGCUGCCCAAACUCUUCAGGUGCCCGCAAAUGUAACUGCCCUGCUGAUGCUGACGCGCGCCUCGACACGUCCGGCUUGCGACGGUUGUCCCUGAAAAGCCGCAUAAUUCCGAGUUAACUGAAUGGCUUCUCCGCCGCCGCUGCAAUAAACACAGUUGAACUAAA